This 375-nucleotide unclassified non-coding RNA is filed under the name uncultured Actinomycetes bacterium. Its description in RNAcentral is "uncultured actinobacterium contains 16S-23S intergenic spacer region". The record is from RNAcentral. Lineage: Bacteria; Bacillati; Actinomycetota; Actinomycetes.
UCCGAGUUGACCCCGGCAGUCUCCUAUGAGUCCCCGGCAUUACCCGCUGGCAACUAGUAGCGAGGGUUGCGCUCGUUGCGGGACUUAACCCAACAUCUCACGACACGAGCUGACGACAACCAUGCACCACCUGUAUACCGACCUUGCGGGGGACACAUUUCUGCAUCUUUCCGGUAUAUGUCAAGCCUUGGUAAGGUUCUUCGCGUUGCAUCGAAUUAAUCCGCAUGCUCCGCCGCUUGUGCGGGCCCCCGUCAAUUCCUUUGAGUUUUAGCCUUGCGGCCGUACUCCCCAGGCGGAUGACUUAAUGCGUUAGCUGCGCCACCGAAAGCCCAUGGCCCCCGACAGCUAGUCAUCAUCGUUUACGGCGUGGACUAC